Molecule: long non-coding RNA, 3527 nt
Filed under: Cricetulus griseus (Chinese hamster)
Lineage: Eukaryota; Metazoa; Chordata; Mammalia; Rodentia; Cricetidae
Description: lncRNA (ENSCGRG00015030745.1)
Source: RNAcentral
GGCAGGGAGACUCAUAUAUAAACAAGGGCAAGAAGGAAGUGGGCGCCUUCUCUCUUCCUCCAGAGUCACCAUGUGAUCCCUCAAUGAGGACACCAAUGGAAGGCAUCAUAAAUAAGAAAACAAAACCAGUCUGCCCUGGGAUUUGGAAAUAGGAUCCGAUUCUCUUGGAGCCUCCCGCUCACUGCUGGGAGCCGUGUGGGCAUGAGGGACAGACAGAGAUGCUGUAAAGAGGACCCCCUGCCUCCUGUCUGCAGACCAUAAUCCCUUCCUGAAGAGGAGGAUGCCUGUAUGUCUACUGGUGUGGCCCCAAAGGACACCUCUUGGCAAUGGAUGUGUUAUUGCAUUGAUAACAGACAACGGGUGAUGUUCCAGGAAAUUCUCUUCGAACAAAAGAAUUGGGGCUGCAGACACCUGACGCAUGAGUGUCUGGGAAGGUAUCCAGUUUCCUCAUAUCACCCCACCCAGGUCAGGCUCUCUCGUGUGACAUAGUCAGGGUAGAAAUAGAGAACUUGAUUGUUGCACAUUGAUGUCAAAGACCAACCGGGCUGGAGCUGCACCGAUUGUUAGAGUCACAGGGCUGAGAGCUUCUGUGCUUUCUGACCUGAAACCACUGCAAACAAAGGAGGAGAAGAUACAAACACAGGGCUGUCAGCAGUGUAAGUUGUUAGAGUCAGGGGCUCCUUGUAUUCUGUGUGCCAUCGACUGCUUUCUCCAAGAUUGAAAAGACACUUACCGUCCUAACACAGAGCUGGGGCGGUUCUGACAAUUCACAUGAGUCUGACAUGCAUAUUGCUUGAGCUAUAUAAAGAAGAAAAAUUUAAAAGUGGCUAUCUUUUGUCUUCAUCUCAAAGAAGGCUCAGGAACUGACAUCCAGGUGGUUAAAAGCAUUACCACACUUCUAAAUGACAUGAUAUAAAGUGUGUGUUUGAGAUUGCAAGAGAAUCCAUUUUCUCCCAUGGGCAUUAACAAAAAUAUUUCAAUCUAGGUGGAAGGGAACAUGGUCCAUCAGAAUUUCUUUUCUUUCUUUUUUUUUUUAAAAAAAACUUGUCUAAUAUAAAAUGCUAACUGCUAAGGCAGGUGUGGUGGUGCCCACCUUUAAUCCCAGAACUUGGGAGGCCAAGUCAGGCAGAUCUCUACAUAAUUCCAGGACAGCCAGGACUACAUAAUGAGACCCCAUCUAAAAAAAAACCCAAAGCAAAGCAAAAACAAAAAUCCAACAACAGCAAUAAGCUAUCUGCUGCUCUGCCUUGUGGUGUUGACAGCAAGCACAGCACAUGUACCCCACUUCUGGUCAUUUUUCCCUCUUUGAGACAGGGUUUUGCUGUGUAGCCUAGGCUAGCCUUGAAUGCAGGCAGCUCCUGCCUCCCAAGUGCCAGGAUUAUAGAAGUCUGCCAUCAAACCCAGAAAUCUGAUCAUGUUUAAAGCCAGGUAUAGGAACAAGACAACAUACCCUUUCAGACUUACAAAAGAGGAUGUUUGGGUGCCAAGUGUCCUCUGAUUCUGGUCGAUCUUGACUUGUUUGUGCUUUAGCUCCUUCUGCUCUUACCUCUCUGAAUUUCUCCAUCUCUCUGAUUAUCUUUGGUUCCAAUUACUCCCUGACACUCACAUCCCUGCCCUCCCUCUAAGGCAGUGGUUCUCAACCUUCCUAGCCCUGCAGCUCUUUUGUACAAUUCCUCAUGCUGUGGUGACUCCCUAUCAUAAAAUUAUUUUCCUUGCUACGUCAUAACUAUAUGUUAUGAAUCGUAGUGCAAAUAUCUGUGUUUUCUGAUAGUCUUAGGUAACCCCUGUGAAAGGGUCACUUGCUCUCUUUUGCUAUUUCCCGUGAUCCUACUGAUGUUCAAGCAGAGAUCAACCCUGACCUUUGUCCCCCUCAAGUAAGGAGCAAACACCAGUGCCAGAUUACAAUGGCACUGGAAAGAUUGGGGACAUGGUCUCUUCUCUGGCAUAUGCAGCUUUUUCCACAGCCUCUCAACCAUCACUCACUGCCUUUCCCAAAGUACUUCCAAGGGCAGGAAACUCCCAACUUCUCAGGACUGUCCUUUCUGUUUUUGUUUUCAUUUUUUCUGACAACUUUAUCAGAAAGCACAAGUUGUCAACAAGCCCAAGAGCCCUGCAGUCUUCUGUUUCCUUCAGAGUGCUGAUGUAUGGCAUAAACUCCAAGGCAGCUGUCACCACGCCCUCUCCCUGUCACUUGCCCAGAGCAGAGCCUCAGCCCUCAACAGAAAUUAAUCUCUUCCACUUUUCACCACCAUAGUUCCUUGUGCUUUUCCAGCCUCUGGUCAUUCAUGCUCAACAGAUAAGUGAUAGCCAUAGCCAUGACUGGAACAUGGGCAGCUUUCCAGGGUGGCCAGAUAUAGCCCAUUAUCACCACAGCUACAGUGCAUGGGCUCAUUGAGAAGUUACUGGACACUUUAUCAAUGAGGAAGGCAGGCCUAGGGACACUGGCGCUGGGCUUCGUGCGAAGGAAUGGAGGUGAAGAUGACGUCUCCUGAGAUAGCAGCAACUGCUUAUCUGACACGUUUGUCAGGUGUCAAUGCAUGUCAUCCGAGAUGGAGACGAACUAUAAAUGCAUAGCCUGAAAGAUAGUAAAUGAUUUAUAAGUGAGGAAGAGACCCAUGAGAGAUUCAGACUGGACAAAGGUCAUGUAGGGAGGCCAUGGCAGAGGUCAUGUAGGGAUAUGAUGGAGGAGGUCAUGUGGAGAGACCAUGGUGAAAGCUCUGAUUUCCAUAAAGCAAGAGAAAGUCCCCAUGCCCUUUGCAAACUGCACUGGACUUCAUGAGGAAAGAAAGGGUAUUUGGAAUUUGUCCUGUUUGAUAAAACCUAGCAUCACAGUUCAAAACCUCAGAGACUGUGCAACUUCCUCUUAAGUUGUCUCAAAUGUGUGGGCUACAGUGGCCCUUGGGACAGGUUUAACCAGACAGAUCUAUGAUUCCCAAUGGCAAAAGGUUCAGGUGUGGGAGUGGUCAGCCAACAAGAAGCACCUAAACUUUCUACACCAGACAGAAUGCCCUCCCCAUGAGGGGAAUGAGUGUGUCAGAUGUGAGAAUGACCAGGACUGAAUAUUGGAUCCCCCACCCCUCAAUAUUCAGAGAUCAGGGCAGUGAGGAGACUCAAAUGGAGAGGACAGGCAUGCUCAGUGAGGGCCAGCAAUCCCAGGAGAUUCAUCUUUGGAAGGGCAGACAGUGCUUCAGAAAGGAAGGAGCUCAGGGCUGACAGAUCAAGAAACAGCUGGAGUCCUGGGGGACAGAUCUAUCUCCCAGCUUAGCCUUCACAAGGCCCUAGUUGAAUCUAUAGUGCAGUUUCACUUGAAAAGGUGGUGGCUCACGCCUUUAAUCCCAGCACUUGGGAGGCAGAGGCAGAGGCAAAGGCAGGCAGAUCUCCGUAAGUUCAAGACUAGCCUGGUCUACAAGAGCUAGUUAUAGGACAGCCUCCAAAGCCACAGAAAAACCCUGCCUAGAACCACCACCACCACCCCCAUAAAAGGAAGGAAAAUGAAAGAAGGAGACAACACAGAAUGAUACUGGCAC